CAGUCGAGGGGCAGCGGGGCGGCAGGCUUGCCUGCCGUUGCCGGCGACCGGCGCACGGGUGAGUAACACGUAUGCAACCUGCCCGUGGCAGGGGGAUAAGCGGGGGAAACCCCGUCUAAUACCGCGUAACGCGGCCUAGGGACAUCCCAAGGCCGCCAAAGGGAGCAAUCCCGGCCACGGAUGGGCAUGCGGCGCAUUAGCUAGUCGGCGGGGUAACGGCCCACCGAGGCGACGAUGCGUAGGGGUUCUGAGAGGAAGGCCCCCCACACUGGUACUGAGACACGGACCAGACUCCUACGGGAGGCAGCAGUGAGGAAUAUUGGUCAAUGGGCGCGAGCCUGAACCAGCCAAGUCGCGUGAGGGAGGACGGCCCUACGGGUUGUAAACCUCUUUUGCCGGGGAGCAACGGGCGCCACGUGUGGCGCCACUGAGAGUACCCGGAGAAAAAGCAUCGGCUAACUCCGUGCCAGCAGCCGCGGUAAUACGGAGGAUGCGAGCGUUAUCCGGAUUUAUUGGGUUUAAAGGGUGCGUAGGCGGAUCGUUAAGUCAGUGGUCAAAUUGAGGGGCUCAACCCCUUCCCGCCAUUGAAACUGGCGAUCUUGAGUGGAAGAGAAGUAUGCGGAAUGCGUGGUGUAGCGGUGAAAUGCAUAGAUAUCACGCAGAACCCCGAUUGCGAAGGCAGCAUGCCGGCUUCCUACUGACGCUGAAGCACGAAAGCGUGGGGAUCGAACAGGAUUAGAUACCCUGGUAGUCCACGCGGUAAACGAUGAGCGCUAGGUGUCCGGGGGGAAUGGCCCCUGGGCGCCACAGCGAAAGCGUUAAGCACUCCACCUGGGGAGUACG
Molecule: ribosomal RNA, 843 nt
Filed under: uncultured bacterium
Lineage: Bacteria
Description: bacterial SSU rRNA
Rfam family: Bacterial small subunit ribosomal RNA
Source: RNAcentral